GACGAACGCUGGCGGCGUGCUUAACACAUGCAAGUCGAACGGAAAGGCCCUGCUUUUGUGGGGUGCUCGAGUGGCGAACGGGUGAGUAACACGUGAGUAACCUGCCCUUGACUUUGGGAUAACUUCAGGAAACUGGGGCUAAUACCGGAUUGGAGCUCCUGCUGCAUGGUGGGGGUUGGAAAGUUUCGGCGGUUGGGGAUGGACUCGCGGCUUAUCAGCUUGUUGGUGGGGUAGUGGCUUACCAAGGCUUUGACGGGUAGCCGGCCUGAGAGGGUGACCGGCCACAUUGGGACUGAGAUACGGCCCAGACUCCUACGGGAGGCAGCAGUGGGGAAUAUUGCACAAUGGGCGGAAGCCUGAUGCAGCAACGCCGCGUGCGGGAUGACGGCCUUCGGGCUGUAAACCGCUUUCGCCUGUGACGAAGCGUGAGUGACGGUAAUGGGUAAAGAAGCACCGGCUAACUACGUG
RNAcentral lists this ribosomal RNA (468 nucleotides) under uncultured bacterium. RNAcentral's name for it is "partial 16S ribosomal RNA". It matches the Rfam family "Bacterial small subunit ribosomal RNA", at positions 28 to 507 of the family's 1533-position model. The record is from RNAcentral.